Molecule: long non-coding RNA, 265 nt
Organism: Xiphophorus couchianus (Monterrey platyfish)
Lineage: Eukaryota; Metazoa; Chordata; Actinopteri; Cyprinodontiformes; Poeciliidae
Exons: 2
Source: RefSeq, a predicted model, not a curated record
CCGAGUCUAUGCAUCACAUUUAUGUGCAAAGCAUAAAAUACUCACAUCUCCAAAAACAGAAGCAAAGAAAAGGAAGAAACUAAUUUUUUGGGGUAGUUGAAAGAAUAGCCAGGAGAGGAGGCACCUUUAACCUGCUCCUGCUGGACCGCUGAGGACUAAGGAGUGUGUCUUCUGCUCAGUGUGUAUGUGUGUGUGUCAGAGACAGAUGGAGGAGCCCGCAGCACGGUGAGCAUCUCAGACUUUCUUAUUGGUGUAAAAAAAAAAA